GUCCAGUAUUGCUAUUGAGUUUAAAAUCUAGGCAGAAAAAUAUAAAAAAAAUUCUUUGAACAGUAAAGGGAACCAACAAGAAAUCAGUGCAAAUGGAGUAAAAUUAAACUGUAACUUGAUAAGGAUGGAACCUUAUUAUUGCCCUUUCUGU
Bufo bufo (common toad) is the source of this 151-nucleotide long non-coding RNA. RefSeq lists it as uncharacterized. The record is from RefSeq and is a predicted model, not a curated record. NCBI's taxonomy places the organism in Eukaryota, Metazoa, Chordata, Amphibia, Anura, Bufonidae. The transcript has 3 exons.